ACUUGUAAACUGGAGGAGGGGAGUAGUGCUUCACCGGUGGUGGUGGAGACUUGUAAACCGGAGGAGGAGAGUAGUACUUAACCGGUGGUGGGGCAGACUUGUAAACGGGAGGAGGGGAGUAGUGCUUAACCGGUGGUGGGGGAGACUUGUAAACCGGAGGAGGGGAGUAGUGCUUAACCGGUGGUGGGGGAGACUUGUAAACGGGAGGAGGCGAGUAGUACUUAACCGGUGGUGGGGGAGACUUGUAAACCGGAGGAGGCGAGUAAUGCUUAACCGGUGGGGGUGGAGACUUGUAAACCGGAGGAGGGGAGUAGUGCUUAACCGGUGGUGGUGGAGACUUGUAAACGGGAGGAGGCGAGUAGUACUUAACCGGUGGUGGUGGAGACUUGUAAACGGGAGGAGGCGAGUAAUGCUUAACCGGUGGGGGUGGAGACUUGUAAACGGGAGGAGGGGAGUAGUGCUUAACCGGUGGUGGUGGAGACUUGUAAACGGGAGGAG
RNAcentral lists this long non-coding RNA (498 nucleotides) under Arabidopsis lyrata. RNAcentral's name for it is "long non-coding RNA (ALYR_LNC002895)". The record is from RNAcentral. Lineage: Eukaryota; Viridiplantae; Streptophyta; Magnoliopsida; Brassicales; Brassicaceae.